GCUAAACGCGAAGAACCUUACCAAGGCUUGACAUAUACCGUUUAUCCCUAGAGGUAGGGAGUCCUUCGGGGCGGUAUACAGGUGGUGCAUGGUUGUCGUCAGCUCGUGUCGUGAGAUGUUGGGUUAAGUCCCGCAACGAGCGCAACCCUCGUUCUAUGUUGCCAGCGCGUAAUGGCGGGGACUCAUAGGAGACUGCCGGGGUCAACUCGGAGGAAGGUGGGGAUGACGUCAAAUCAUCAUGCCCCUUAUGUCUUGGGCUUCACGCAUGCUACAAUGGCCGGUACAAAGGGCUGCAAUACCGCAAGGUGGAGCGAAUACCCAAAAAGCCGGUCUCAGUUCGGAUUGGGGUCUGCAACUCGACCCCAUGAAGUCGGAGUCGCUAGUAAUCGCAGAUCAGCAACGCUGCGGUGAAUACGUUCCCGGGUCUUGUACACACCG
RNAcentral lists this ribosomal RNA (438 nucleotides) under uncultured bacterium. Its description in RNAcentral is "bacterial SSU rRNA". It matches the Rfam family "Bacterial small subunit ribosomal RNA", at positions 954 to 1392 of the family's 1533-position model. The record is from RNAcentral.